RNAcentral lists this long non-coding RNA (275 nucleotides) under Linum usitatissimum (flax). Its description in RNAcentral is "long non-coding RNA (LUSI_LNC000758)". The record is from RNAcentral. Lineage: Eukaryota; Viridiplantae; Streptophyta; Magnoliopsida; Malpighiales; Linaceae.
GAGUACAAGAUAACAGGAUUAAGUGACCAACCUUGGAAAGAGCAAAUGUAUACAUCUUCACAUACUCCUUUGUCCUGUUUCCUUUCCUCUAACUGAACCCAAAAUACUCACCAUCUCGUUUCCUGUUUUGAAUAAGUUGAGCAGCUACACACCUGUUGGAACAUUUUUGGUGCUGAGCUGCAUUUGUUUUCUUCUUUUUGGCGGUUGUAACUGAGAGGCGAGGCUGAUCCUAUUCAAGUAACUGUGUAUGACUACUUUGUCAACAACCGGAACAU